Molecule: ribosomal RNA, 465 nt
Filed under: bacterium NE2007
Lineage: Bacteria
Description: bacterial SSU rRNA
Rfam family: Bacterial small subunit ribosomal RNA
Source: RNAcentral
GAUGAACGCUGGCGGCGUGCCUAACACAUGCAAGUCGAACGGAGUUUAGCGCUGAUGAAGCUUCGGCAGAUUCUUGUUAAACUUAGUGGCGGACGGGUGAGUAACGCGUGGGUAACCUGCCUCAUACAGGGGGAUAGCAGUUGGAAACGACUGAUAACACCGCAUAAGCGCACAGGAUCGCAUGAUCUAGUGUGAAAAUAUUUAUAGGUAUGAGAUGGACCCGCGUCUGAUUAGCUAGUUGGUGAGGUAACGGCCCACCAAGGCGACGAUCAGUAGCCGGCCUGAGAGGGCGGACGGCCACAUUGGGACUGAGACACGGCCCAAACUCCUACGGGAGGCAGCAGUGGGGGAUAUUGCACAAUGGGCGAAAGCCUGAUGCAGCGACGCCGCGUGAGUGAAGAAGUAUUUCGGUAUGUAAAGCUCUAUCAGCAGGGAAGAAAGACCUCGUAAGAGGGGAUGACGUAC